RNAcentral lists this ribosomal RNA (725 nucleotides) under uncultured bacterium. RNAcentral's name for it is "bacterial SSU rRNA". It matches the Rfam family "Bacterial small subunit ribosomal RNA", at positions 63 to 806 of the family's 1533-position model. The record is from RNAcentral.
CGAUUUCGGUCAAAUCAUGUGGCAUUCGAGUGGCGGACGGGUGAGUAACGCGUGGGUAACCUGCCUUACACAGGGGGAUAACACCUGGAAACAGGUGCUAAUACCGCAUAAGCGCACAGGGCCGCAUGGCCCGGUGUGAAAAACUCCGGUGGUGUAAGAUGGACCCGCGUCUGAUUAGCUUGUUGGCGGGGUAGGGGCCCACCAAGGCGACGAUCAGUAGCCGGCCUGAGAGGGUGGACGGCCACAUUGGGACUGAGACACGGCCCAAACUCCUACGGGAGGCAGCAGUGGGGGAUAUUGGACAAUGGGGGAAACCCUGAUCCAGCGACGCCGCGUGAGUGAAGAAGUAUUUCGGUAUGUAAAGCUCUGUCAGCAGGGAAGAAAGAAAUGACGGUACCUGACCAAGAAGCCCCGGCUAACUACGUGCCAGCAGCCGCGGUAAUACGUAGGGGGCAAGCGUUAUCCGGAAUUACUGGGUGUAAAGGGAGCGUAGACGGUGAUGCAAGUCUGGAGUGAAAGGCGGGGGCCCAACCCCCGGACUGCUCUGGAAACUGUGUAACUUGAGUGCAGGAGAGGUAAGCGGAAUUCCUAGUGUAGCGGUGAAAUGCGUAGAUAUUAGGAGGAACACCAGUGGCGAAGGCGGCUUACUGGACUGUAACUGACGUUGAGGCUCGAAAGCGUGGGGAGCAAACAGGAUUAGAUACCCUGGUAGUCCACGCCGUAAA